AGCGAACGCUGGCGGCAGGCCUAACACAUGCAAGUCGAACGGAUCCUUCGGGAUUAGUGGCGGACGGGUGAGUAACACGUGGGAACGUGCCCUUUGGUUCGGAACAACUCAGGGAAAUAUGAGCUAAUAACGGAUGUGCCCUUCGGGGGAAAGAUUGAUCGCCAUUGGAGCGGCCCGCGUCUGAUUAGCUAGUUGGUGAGGUAACGGCCCACCAAGGCGACGAUCAGUAGCUGGUCUGAGAGGAUGAUCAGCCACACUGGGACUGAGACACGGCCCAGACUCCUACGGGAGGCAGCAGUGGGGAAUCUUGCGCAAUGGGCGAAAGCCUGACGCAGCCAGGCCGCGUGAAUGAUGAAGGUCUUAGGAUUGUAAAAUUCUUUCAGCGGGGACGAUAAUGACGGUACCCGCAGAAGAAGCUCCGGCUAACUUCGUG
Molecule: ribosomal RNA, 433 nt
Filed under: uncultured bacterium
Lineage: Bacteria
Description: partial 16S ribosomal RNA
Rfam family: Bacterial small subunit ribosomal RNA
Source: RNAcentral